RNAcentral lists this ribosomal RNA (450 nucleotides) under uncultured bacterium. RNAcentral's name for it is "bacterial SSU rRNA". It matches the Rfam family "Bacterial small subunit ribosomal RNA", at positions 28 to 507 of the family's 1533-position model. The record is from RNAcentral.
GAUGAACGCUGGCGGCGUGCUUAACACAUGCAAGUCGAACGGACUAAAUGAAACCUAGUGAUUUUAGUUAGUGGCGGACGGGUGAGUAACGCGUGGGAAACUGCCCACCACUGGGGAAUAACGUUUGGAAACGAACGCUAAUACCGCAUACGCCGGAAACGGGAAAGAUUUAUCGGUGGUGGAUGUGCCCGCGUUGGAUUAGCUUGUUGGUGGGGUAACGGCCUACCAAGGCGAUGAUCCAUAGCUGGUCUGAGAGGACGAUCAGCCACGCUGGAACUGAGACACGGUCCAGACUCCUACGGGAGGCAGCAGCUAAGAAUAUUGGGCAAUGGAGGAAACUCUGACCCAGCCAUGCCGCGUGAAUGAAGAAGGCCUUCGGGUUGUAAACUUCUUUUACCAGGGACGAAGGACGUGACGGUACCUGGAGAAAAAGCCACGGCUAACUACGUG